CACAUGCAAGUCGAGCGGGGGAAGGUAGCUUGCUACUGGACCUAGCGGCGGACGGGUGAGUAAUGCUUAGGAAUCUGCCUAUUAGUGGGGGACAACAUCUCGAAAGGGAUGCUAAUACCGCAUACGUCCUACGGGAGAAAGCAGGGGAUCUUCGGACCUUGCGCUAAUAGAUGAGCCUAAGUCGGAUUAGCUAGUUGGUGGGGUAAAGGCCUACCAAGGCGACGAUCUGUAGCGGGUCUGAGAGGAUGAUCCGCCACACUGGGACUGAGACACGGCCCAGACUCCUACGGGAGGCAGCAGUGGGGAAUAUUGGACAAUGGGCGCAAGCCUGAUCCAGCCAUGCCGCGUGUGUGAAGAAGGCCUUAUGGUUGUAAAGCACUUUAAGCGAGGAGGAGGCUACUUUAGAUAAUACCUAGAGAUAGUGGACGUUACUCGCAGAAUAAGCCCCGG
This 450-nucleotide ribosomal RNA is filed under the name Acinetobacter nosocomialis. RNAcentral's name for it is "bacterial SSU rRNA". It matches the Rfam family "Bacterial small subunit ribosomal RNA", at positions 52 to 496 of the family's 1533-position model. Lineage: Bacteria; Pseudomonadati; Pseudomonadota; Gammaproteobacteria; Moraxellales; Moraxellaceae. The record is from RNAcentral.